Molecule: ribosomal RNA, 920 nt
Filed under: uncultured bacterium
Lineage: Bacteria
Description: bacterial SSU rRNA
Rfam family: Bacterial small subunit ribosomal RNA
Source: RNAcentral
ACGCUAGCUACAGGCUUAACACAUGCAAGUCGAGGGGCAGCAUGUUGGCUGCUUGCAACCAAUGAUGGCGACCGGCGCACGGGUGAGUAACGCGUAUCCAACCUACCCAAUACUCAGGCAUAACCCGUUGAAAGACGGACUAAUUCCUGAUGGCAUGUAUUUCUCUCAUGAGUUAUACAUUAAAGAAUUUCGGUAUUGGAUGGGGAUGCGUCUGAUUAGUUUGUUGGUGAGGUAACGGCUCACCAAGACUUCGAUCAGUAGGGGUUCUGAGAGGAAGGUCCCCCACAUUGGAACUGAGACACGGUCCAAACUCCUACGGGAGGCAGCAGUGAGGAAUAUUGGUCAAUGGAUGCAAAUCUGAACCAGCCAAGUAGCGUGCAGGAUGACGGCCCUAUGGGUUGUAAACUGCUUUUAUGUGAGAAUAAAGUUAGGUAUGUAUACUUAUUUGCAUGUAUCACAUGAAUAAGGACCGGCUAAUUCCGCGCCAGCAGCCGCGGUAAUACGGAAGGUCCAGGCGUUAUCCGGAUUUAUUGGGUUUAAAGGGUGCGUAGGCCGUUUGAUAAGCGUGCUGUGAAAUAUAGUGGCUCAACCUCUAUCGUGCAGCGCGAACUGUCGAACUUGAGUGCGUAGUAGGUAGGCGGAAUUCGUGGUGUAGCGGUGAAAUGCUUAGAUAUCACGAAGAACUCCGAUUGCGAAGGCAGCUUACCGUAACGUUACUGACGCUUAAGCACGAAGGUGCGGGUAUCGAACAGGAUUAGAUACCCUGGUAGUCCGCACAGUAAACGAUGGAUGCUCGCUGUUGGCCUUUUUGGUCAGUGGCUUAGCGAAAGCGUUAAGCAUCCCACCUGGGGAGUACGCCGGCAACGGUGAACUCAAAGGAAUUGACGGGGGCCCGCACAAGCGGAGGAACAUGUGGUUUA